CUAUUCCUGAUCCCGACGACAAGAAGCCAGAGGACUGGGAUGAGAGAGCUAAAAUCCCUGAUCCAGAUGCCGUGAAGCCUGAUGACUGGGAUGAGGAUGCCCCAAUGGAAAUUGUGGAUGAGGAGGCCACCAAGCCUGAAGGAUGGUUGGAUGAUGAGCCUGAGGAAAUUGAUGAUCCAGAGGCUGCUAAGCCUGAGGACUGGGAUGAUGAGGAGGAUGGCGAAUGGGAGGCACCGAAGAUGGACAACCCCAAGUGCGAAGAGGCACCUGGAUGUGGUG
RNAcentral lists this long non-coding RNA (279 nucleotides) under Hordeum vulgare. Its description in RNAcentral is "long non-coding RNA (HVUL_LNC014855)". The record is from RNAcentral. Lineage: Eukaryota; Viridiplantae; Streptophyta; Magnoliopsida; Poales; Poaceae.